GACGAACGCUGGCGGCGUGCCUAAUACAUGCAAGUAGAACGCUGAAGGAGGAGCUUGCUCUUCUGGAUGAGUUGCGAACGGGUGAGUAACGCGUAGGUAACCUGCCUGGUAGCGGGGGAUAACUAUUGGAAACGAUAGCUAAUACCGCAUAACAGUAGAUGUUGCAUGACAUUUACUUAAAAGGUGCAAUUGCAUCACUACCAGAUGGACCUGCGUUGUAUUAGCUAGUUGGUGGGGUAACGGCUCACCAAGGCGACGAUACAUAGCCGACCUGAGAGGGUGAUCGGCCACACUGGGACUGGGACACGGCCCAGACUCCUACGGGAGGCGGCAGUAGGGAAUCUUCGGCAAUGGACGGAAGUCUGACCGAGCAACGCCGCGUGAGUGAAGAAGGUUUUCGGAUCGUAAAGCUCUGUUGUAAGAGAAGAACGAGUGUGAGAGUGGAAAGUUCACACUGUGACGGUAUCUUACCAGAAAGGGACGGCUAACUACGUG
RNAcentral lists this ribosomal RNA (495 nucleotides) under uncultured bacterium. RNAcentral's name for it is "partial 16S ribosomal RNA". It matches the Rfam family "Bacterial small subunit ribosomal RNA", at positions 28 to 507 of the family's 1533-position model. The record is from RNAcentral.